Long non-coding RNA from Bos taurus (domestic cattle), 1084 nucleotides. NCBI's taxonomy places the organism in Eukaryota, Metazoa, Chordata, Mammalia, Artiodactyla, Bovidae. The record is from Ensembl.
GGGACAGUCAAGUGGGCCGGGGUUUCGGUGGUCAAUGAGCACCAGGACAGGUCGUGGGAGACCCCCUAGAGGAAGGUACCACGCUGAAGCCUGAGCCACAGGCCAAAGCCAGGCUUGUUCAGGAUUGCAUCUAGGAGACCGCAGGGAAAAGCAACAGACCUUUCCCAGUUGGCUCCUGGACUAAUGGACCAGCCUUCUAGAAUGGCCUCUACAGUUGGCCACACAGCACCCUGAGCGUUUGCUCUCUACCACUUGUGAUCAUAGACCUUGUUGAGAACUGAGUGAGACCACUGGACCCUCGCCCUGUCAAAGGCCAUAGGCUUACACAAGUUGAAGCACCAUCGUGUGUUCCCAGAAGACUCCUGCCUCCCAGGACCAGCACGGAGAAGCCACAACUCUGACCAAGGCCACAGCUUGAAUUCUUUCCGUGCCACUUUCUCAUCUCCAGAAUGAAGUUUUAACUCCUCAGCUGCAGACACAGGCCCUUCAACACUCAGCCUUACCCUAAAGGAUCUGGGCUCUUGGACAGCCAGAGUCUUGGUCUCUAUCUCUACUGCUCAGCACAGCUUUCCAGUCUUAGCCACUGGGGGCAGUUCAACGCUCCACUCAGAUGACAUCCUUUCCCUGCCCUGGGGUGGCCCAUCUCUGAUAUGCUCCUAAGAGUAAAAAUAACCGUGGUUUCUGGAUCCACUUUUCCCCCAACACUGGGAACUAUGGGAGGUCAGGAGUCAUAAGUAACUCACUGCUAUAUCUUCAGAACCUGCUCUAGGGCUGCUGUGUAGACUCUCUCAAUAAACAUGUGCUGGACACAACAUCCCCUCACCAUCUAUCUGUUCCUCAUUCCCCCUGAAUUUUGCUUGGUAGCCUAUAGGGUUCCAAGGAGCAGCUUUAACCCCAGACUCCAAAGGAAUAGAGUCAGCUUUAGACAGAAGCCAGCUCUGACAAGGGCAGAGCAGAGAGAGAAUGCAAAGUCUUGGUGACCUAACUGAGGAGCUGGAUCAGCCCUUGCCUGAAGCCAAUCCUGAAAGUUUCAUUUCUAUAAAGCCAUUAUAGUCCUUUUACUAGUUUAAGUAAUGGUUUCUAU